GAUGAACGCUGGCGGCGUGCCUAAUACAUGCAAGUCGAGCGAACGGACGAGAAGCUUGCUUCUCUGAUGUUAGCGGCGGACGGGUGAGUAACACGUGGAUAACCUACCUAUAAGACUGGGAUAACUUCGGGAAACCGGAGCUAAUACCGGAUGAUAUUUUGAACCGCAUGGUUCAAAAGUGAAAGACGGUCUUGCUGUCACUUAUAGAUGGAUCCGCGCUGCAUUAGCUAGUUGGUAAGGUAACGGCUUACCAAGGCAACGAUGCAUAGCCGACCUGAGAGGGUGAUCGGCCACACGGGAACUGAGACACGGUCCAGACUCCUACGGGAGGCAGCAGUAGGGAAUCUUCAGCAAUGGGCGAAAGCCUGACGGAGCAACGCCGCGUGAGUGAUGAAGGUCUUCGGAGCGUAAAACUCUGUUAUUAGGGAAGAACAUAUGUGUAAGUAACUGUGCACAUCUUGACGGUACCUAAUCAGAAAGCCACGGCUAACUACGUG
This 497-nucleotide ribosomal RNA is filed under the name uncultured bacterium. RNAcentral describes it as "partial 16S ribosomal RNA". It matches the Rfam family "Bacterial small subunit ribosomal RNA", at positions 28 to 507 of the family's 1533-position model. The record is from RNAcentral.